RNAcentral lists this ribosomal RNA (253 nucleotides) under uncultured Bacteroides sp. RNAcentral describes it as "partial 16S ribosomal RNA". It matches the Rfam family "Bacterial small subunit ribosomal RNA", at positions 524 to 776 of the family's 1533-position model. The record is from RNAcentral. Lineage: Bacteria; Pseudomonadati; Bacteroidota; Bacteroidia; Bacteroidales; Bacteroidaceae.
UACGGAGGAUCCGAGCGUUAUCCGGAUUUAUUGGGUUUAAAGGGAGCGUAGGCGGGUUGUUAAGUCAGUUGUGGAAGUUUGCGGCUCAACCGUAAAAUUGCAGUUGAUACUGGCGACCUUGAGUGCAACAGAGGUAGGCGGAAUUCGUGGUGUAGCGGUGAAAUGCUUAGAUAUCACGAAGAACUCCGAUUGCGAAGGCAGCUUACUGGAUUGUAACUGACGCUGAUGCUCGAAAGUGUGGGUAUCAAACAGG